Non-coding RNA from Paramuricea clavata, 730 nucleotides. The record is from the annotation of a GenBank genome assembly. NCBI's taxonomy places the organism in Eukaryota, Metazoa, Cnidaria, Anthozoa, Malacalcyonacea, Plexauridae.
AGCUUUCGCCGGGGUCGACCACUGCCGAUGAUGAACCAGGACCAAGUUGUAAACAAAGCAGACGUAGUAUUACAUCCAAGCAAAAAGAUAAGACAACGAAAACUAGCUUGAGUUCUGUCUGUGUCACUGAUGUGCACCAAAUCAGAAGGUUCAAGGACAGUAAGGUAUGGUAGUACAUAAGCAACUGCGGCUUCGCUUGGCCUAUUGCCUGUGUCAACCUUUACUUGAUUUGCACAUUGGUGGUAGCCCUCGUUCCACUUUCAGGACCAGGCCGGCCACCAGCAUACUUUCACGAUUGAAAGGGAAGCACUAUACAAGUGGUGCAAAGAAAGGAGAAAAGAGGGGAAUAUGUAAAGUCUGUGGAAGCAAAAGAACAAGUGAAGGAAAGAGAAAGGACACAAAAACUGCUAAUAAGUGUCUAUAAUGUGACAUGUUCUUGUGCGAAGGAGUGUGUUUCGCAGAUUAUCACACCAAGACGAAGGUGUAACAUGUGACUAUUCUAAUAAAAUAUCAUAGUUAGGUAGGAACAUGACUAUUUUAGUGCUUUUUAGAAUAUAUGUAUAAUAGUUUGUAUAAAACAAAGCAAUCUGGGUGUGAAAUUUUGGUUUUUCAGAAAUCCAAGAUGGCCGCCAUAGAUUUUUGUACAACGAUCCAAUUUCAUAAAACUCCAAUUUCUCCAAAACGACAAAUUGGAUUGAAACAAAAAUUUAUAGCUGCUUUGACUAUAUCC